RNAcentral lists this transfer RNA (72 nucleotides) under Caerostris darwini. RNAcentral describes it as "tRNA-iMet". It matches the Rfam family "tRNA". From Rfam's summary of the family: Transfer RNA (tRNA) molecules are approximately 80 nucleotides in length. The record is from RNAcentral. Lineage: Eukaryota; Metazoa; Arthropoda; Arachnida; Araneae; Araneidae.
AGCAGAGUGGUGCAGUGGAAGCGUGCUGGGCCCAUAACCCUGAGGUCCGUGUAUCAAAACCCCGCUCUGCUA